Molecule: ribosomal RNA, 409 nt
Filed under: uncultured bacterium
Lineage: Bacteria
Description: bacterial SSU rRNA
Rfam family: Bacterial small subunit ribosomal RNA
Source: RNAcentral
UGGGGAAUCUUGCGCAAUGGGCGGAAGCCUGACGCAGCGACGCCGCGUGGGGGAUGAAGGCCCUCGGGUUGUAAACCCCUUUCGGCAGGGAAGAAGCGAAAGUGACGGUACCUGCAGAAGAAGCCCCGGCUAACUACGUGCCAGCAGCCGCGGUAAGACGUAGGGGGCGAGCGUUGUCCGGAUUUAUUGGGCGUAAAGCGCGCGUAGGCGGCCGCUCAAGUCGGAUGUGAAAACCCAGGGCUCAACCCUGGGCCUGCAUCCGAUACUGGGCGGCUCGAGGCAGGCAGGGGAGAGUGGAAUUCCUGGUGUAGCGGUGAAAUGCGCAGAUAUCAGGAGGAACACCGGUGGCGAAGGCGGCUCUCUGGGCCUGUCCUGACGCUCAGGCGCGAAAGCUAGGGGAGCAAACAGG